Molecule: small RNA, 25 nt
Filed under: Arabidopsis thaliana (thale cress)
Lineage: Eukaryota; Viridiplantae; Streptophyta; Magnoliopsida; Brassicales; Brassicaceae
Description: ATSL262960
Source: RNAcentral
UAAGGAUACGAAUUAUGUGCUAAGC